CUCCAACUGAGCCCCUUCAUGGACUGGGUGACCCUGUUUCCCUCCCCCUCCCCGCUGGGUGUGUCAUAAAUCAGAUUCUCCAACUGAGCACCUUCACAGGCUGGGUUGUCAUCAAUCACAUUCUCCAAUUAAAUAUAUUCCUGGGGCAAAAGCUCUGGUAUUUUAGCUACAAUCUUUUAAAGAUAAAGAGUUGGAAGGUGCUUUUGCUUUCGAACUGCUGCCCUGCGCUUCCAGAUUUCCUUCCUCCCCCUCUCCUUUUCUUAAAAUGGCAUCACCAUCUCUGCCUUCACUGCCCCACCCCCACCUUCCAAAGGGCCUCCAGACCCCCCCAGGCAGUGCUCCCUGUACACCACCCCACCCCGGUCUUUCUCCAGGCCCCCUUUCCUUAAAGCACAGCCCCCUCCCAACACAUACCCGCUCGGUAAAGAGCAGGGGCUGGCCUUGGGUGCAAGGCCCCCCUGCUCCUCCAAGGCCCUAUGACCGGAGGGGGAGGGCUGUAAGCAGGAGCACAGAGGGAUGGGGUGGGUGUGAUAGCAGGCCAGGAGACUGGGGAGUCAGUGCUGACUCAGAGAGGAAGGGGAGGGGGGUUUUUCCUUCUCAAGAGAAGCUGCAGGGAAGACUGUUCCACCCAUUUCUCCCCACGCACCCCGGUCUGCUUGUCCAGGGGGUGACUCACCGCUCGCUGCUGAACCCGGGCUUGGGCUGGCUUCUGCAGGUGCCUCUCGCUCUCCUGCUGCAACUCCAGCAGGGCCUUCAGGGAGGGGCUCUGCUUGGCCAGGCCCCCCCAGAGGGGCUGCGUGCUUUGCUGCUGCUGCUGCUGGAGGAAGCUGUUCAGCUGCUGCUGCUGGGCCAGGUCCCCAGAUGCCAUUUUCUGCUGGAGGGCACAUUGGGCGUAUUGCCGGCUGCAAGACACAAAAGGCGGAGUGGCUCCCACAUCCCCCCACCCAGGAAAAGAGCCAGGCUCCUCUGCUCCCUCCCCCCGCCCACCCUGCAUCCCACUGUGGCACUGGGGCAUUGCCCGUACCUGUUGACUAGCUGAAGCAACUGCUGUUGCUGGAGCUGUUGGUAGAUGGCUGCGGCUGCCAGUUCCUGCUGCUUCUUCAAGCGCUCCUGGUCCAUGUUUCCCUGGAGGGGCAAGAGGAGGGGGUCACCUACCCCCUGCAUGAAGACAGGACCCUGGAGCUGCCUGCAAAGGGACCCUGCCACUCCCUCACACACACACACACACACACACACACACACACACCUCGUAAGCUGAAUGGAGAGGUUCUUCAAUGCUCCACCUUCCAAGUUGGGGAGGGGGGAUGAAAGGACAAAGCUCUAAAUGAAGGGGGGCAUUGAGUCCCACACCAGAGGUGGCCCUAAAAAUGGCUUCCAAUGAAGAGCAUAUGCUGCCUAACCCAGGGGUCUCCAACCUUGGCCACUUUAAGCCUGGUGGACUUCGACUCCCAGAAUUCCCCCAGCCGGCUUUGCUAGACUUCAACCCUCUAUGCCUGCUUACUCUCUUGUCAUCCCUUCCUCUGCAAUCUGUCUGCUUACUCUCUUAUUAUUAUUUAUUUAUUUAUUAAUGGGACUUAUUAUGUGCGCCCCAUCUC
RNAcentral lists this long non-coding RNA (1595 nucleotides) under Naja naja (Indian cobra). RNAcentral describes it as "lncRNA (ENSNNAG00000011818.1)". The record is from RNAcentral. Lineage: Eukaryota; Metazoa; Chordata; Lepidosauria; Squamata; Elapidae.